ACGAACGCUGGCGGCAGGCUUAACACAUGCAAGUCGAGCGAGGACUUCGGUUCUAGCGGCGGACGGGUGAGUAACGCGUGGGAACGUGCCCUUCUCUACGGAAUAGCCCCGGGAAACUGGGAGUAAUACCGUAUACGCCCUUUGGGGGAAAGAUUUAUCGGAGAAGGAUCGGCCCGCGUUGGAUUAGGUAGUUGGUGGGGUAAUGGCCUACCAAGCCGACGAUCCAUAGCUG
This 232-nucleotide ribosomal RNA is filed under the name uncultured bacterium. RNAcentral's name for it is "partial 16S ribosomal RNA". It matches the Rfam family "Bacterial small subunit ribosomal RNA", at positions 29 to 289 of the family's 1533-position model. The record is from RNAcentral.